RNAcentral lists this ribosomal RNA (427 nucleotides) under uncultured bacterium. Its description in RNAcentral is "bacterial SSU rRNA". It matches the Rfam family "Bacterial small subunit ribosomal RNA", at positions 355 to 774 of the family's 1533-position model. The record is from RNAcentral.
UGGGGAAUAUUGGACAAUGGGCGCAAGCCUGAUCCAGCCAUACCGCGUGGGUGAAGAAGGCCUUCGGGUUGUAAAGCCCUUUUGUUGGGAAAGAAAAGCAGCCGGUUAAUACCCGGUUGUUCUGACGGUACCCAAAGAAUAAGCACCGGCUAACUUCGUGCCAGCAGCCGCGGUAAUACGUAGGGUGCGAGCGUUAAUCGGAAUUACUGGGCGUAAAGCGUGCGCAGGCGGUUUUGUAAGACAGAGGUGAAAUCCCCGGGCUCAACCUGGGAACUGCCUGUGUGACUGCAAGGCUGGAGUGCGGCAGAGGGGGAUGGAAUUCCGCGUGUAGCAGUGAAAUGCGUAGAUAUGCGGAGGAACACUGAUGGCGAAGGCAAUCCCCUGGGCCUGCACUGACGCUCAUGCACGAAAGCGUGGGGAGCAAACA